This 456-nucleotide ribosomal RNA is filed under the name uncultured eukaryote. RNAcentral's name for it is "eukaryotic LSU rRNA". It matches the Rfam family "Eukaryotic large subunit ribosomal RNA", at positions 944 to 1391 of the family's 3401-position model. The record is from RNAcentral.
CAAGUAGCUGGUUCCCUCCGAAGUUUCCCUCAGGAUAGCUGGAACUUAAGAAAAAGUAGUUUUAUCAGGUAAAGCGAAUGAUUAGAGGCUUUGGGGAAGAAACUUCCUCGACCUAUUCUCAAACUUUAAAUAGGUAAGAUUUGAAGGAUACUUAAGUGAUCUUUCAAUCUUUUGAAUAUAAAGUUCUUAGUGGGCCAUUUUUGGUAAGCAGAACUGGCGAUGUGGGAUGAACCGAACGUUAAGUUAAAGUGCCAAAUAAUACGCUCAUGAGAUACCAUAAAAGGUGUUGGUUCAUUUUGACAGCAGGACGGUGGCCAUGGAAGUCGGAACCCGCUAAGGAGUGUGUAACAACUCACCUGCCGAAUGAACUAGCCCUGAAAAUGGAUGGCGCUUAAGCGUAUAACUUAUACUUAACCCUUACUUGAAUCAUAAUAGCGAGUAAGGAGUAGGAGGGCG